RNAcentral lists this ribosomal RNA (254 nucleotides) under uncultured bacterium. RNAcentral describes it as "partial 16S ribosomal RNA". It matches the Rfam family "Bacterial small subunit ribosomal RNA", at positions 524 to 776 of the family's 1533-position model. The record is from RNAcentral.
UACGUAGGGUGCGAGCGUUAAUCGGAAUUACUGGGCGUAAAGCGUGCGCAGGCGGUCUGUUAAGACCGAUGUGAAAUCCCCGGGCUUAACCUGGGAACUGCAUUGGUGACUGGCAGGCUUUGAGUGUGGCAGAGGGAGGUAGAAUUCCACGUGUAGCAGUGAAAUGCGUAGAGAUGUGGAGGAAUACCGAUGGCGAAGGCGGCGAUCUGGGUCGAUACUGACGCUGAGGUGCGAAAGCGUGGGGAGCAAACAGG